GCAGAAGAGCCGCUGACAUGAGCCAAAAUCUCUCAUCUCGCUUGACAGGCAACUGGACGAGCUCCGGACCUCUCCAUAGGUCAACACAAAGCGGUUGGAUCCUGGAGAAGGAAUGAAGCCUACUCUACAGCUACUGUGGAUCGAUGUCCGCCGUUUUCAACAGCUAUGCACAUAAGAGACGAGUAGAGGUGAAAUAGCAAAUAAUGAGAACAUCUGUCAGAGGCUGAAACUCCCACUUGAUUCGAGCCUGUCGCUUUACUCGGAAAUCGAGAUAGGUAACUCGAAACGGUAAACGUGGUCUGGCAACGUAGACCACAAUUACCGCAAUCGCCUCUUGAUAGGGAUAAUGUGCCACAAAAGGUUACAGUAUUCUGGCGAAGAUGAACCGUCGAAGCGAACGAGUGUGAGUCACACUCUAGAUAAAACUGUGAGUGUACAGCUUCACGAGAUUCGUUAAGAACUGUGCGAGCGUGGGUGGUUAUGGCUUCGAGGGAUUCCCCCG
Long non-coding RNA from Diprion similis, 502 nucleotides. RefSeq lists it as uncharacterized. Lineage: Eukaryota; Metazoa; Arthropoda; Insecta; Hymenoptera; Diprionidae. The transcript has 3 exons. The record is from RefSeq and is a predicted model, not a curated record.